This 48-nucleotide non-coding RNA is filed under the name unclassified sequences. The record is from Rfam.
GACGGAUCAGCUCUGUGCAAAUGUAUCCGAUGAAGCAUUGUACGGAGC